AUGGCGGCGCCGCCGGGGAUCCUCGAGGUGCGAUGCGCGGGGUGCGGCGAGACCCUGGAGGUGGAGCAUGGCCUCACGGAGUUCGCCUGCCCCGACUGCGGCAUGGCCCAGUCGCUCCCGCCGGAGCUCAUGCCGCCCCGCCCUCGCCGCGCGCUCCCGCUCCCCGGACGAGGCGCCCCCUACGCCGCGCCCGCCCCGCCCGCCGCGCCCGCUCGAGUCACGUGCGGCGGAUGCGGAUCCGUGCUCAGCGUGCCGCACGGCCCCGGGCGAUUCGCCUGCCCGCUCUGCGGCGUCGAGCUCGCGUCCUUCCCCAUCGCCGCAGUUCCGGUCGUGGUGUCGCCCACAGCCGUCCCAAUCUCCUCCCCCCGGCCAAUGAAUGCCUCAGAGCAGGUGCAGCAGCCUUCGAGUCAAUCAGCUCGUGCAGGAAUGGUUCAAAAACCCAUUCAUUCACAACAAUACAAGCAUUUUUUUGGAGAGGAGUCCUUCAAUUCAUUUCGAGCUGAACCAAGAACACAUAUUGAUGCAGGAAGGACGCUACUAAUUGAGCCUCCUAAUCCUUCAGUCCAUAGGGAUGAGUCACAUACUGAACCUGUCCAAGGAACUCUUGCCAGGCCUGGCAAGAGGACACAAAUUGAUGCAGCAAGGACACUACAAAAUGAGCUUCCUAAUGCUUCAAUCCACAGGGAGGAGUCACAUACUGAACCUGUCCAAGGAAAUAUUGCCAGGUCUGGCAAGAGGACAUAUAGAUUUGUAUUUGGUCCAAAAUCAUGGCAAGAAGGAAAUGUCCAGAAAGAGCAGCCUAACCAGGUUGUCCAUGCAUCACAGGCUCAAGUUAUGCCCACAGAGUCUUCAGUUCCUACAAACCAGGCAGUAGGAAGGUUUCCUGAUGACCCAAUUCCGAUUCACAGCAAGCAGAUAACUGAACAUGUGGAUGUCCCUAGUGCUACCGAGCAUGGGCAGAUGCGUUCUCAGCAUCAAGUUGUCCAUGAAGAGCAGGCAGGUGAAAAUCCUAUUGACACAGUCCACAUGGAGCAGGAAAAGGGGGACUCUGCUUGCAAGCCAUCAAGCGAAAAUAGGAAGAGCGCCGAAAAUACUAAAGGAAAUCAUAAGAGGGAAAACAGUAAUUUGAUAAAUGUCCACGCAUCACAGGCACAAGUAAUGCCCACUGAGUCUUCGGUUCAUAUAAACCAGGCAGACGGAGGGUUUCCUGAUGACACAAUUCCAAAGCACGGCAAGCAGAGAACUGAACAUGUGGCUGUCCCUAGUGCUAUCGAGCAUGAGCAGGUACGUUCUCGGCAUCAAGUUGACCAUGAGCAGCAGGAAGGUGAAAAUCCUAGUGACAGAGUCCACAUGGAGCAGGAAAAGGCGGACUCUGUCUGCAAGCCAUCAAACAAAAAUAUAAAGAGCACCGAAAAUACCAUAGGAAAUCGUAAGAGGAAAAACAAGAAUUUGAUGAAUUCUUCUAUUGAGCGGCCUCAGCUUAGGCGCAGUAAACGCCUGUCAAAGGGAUCAUCACCAGACCUUAUUGAUGUUGAGCCUAUCCAGAUGUUAGAUGCUUCCCCCCAUCAAAAUCAUUCAGAAGCUCCACAGAUUGCGAGUAGCAUAGCUGAUCAAACACUCUCUCCAGAGACUGGGUGGGCACUUCCUAAUCCUGAUUCUAGUUCAUCGCAUGAGCAUGAGAUUCCCCAAAAAAGCUUUAAUGGGAUUGACCAGCUUGAUGGAAGUGAUGAGGAAGUACAUUCAAGUCCAUCAGAUGGUCAAAAUCAGUAUAUGGAUGGACAAGUGGCAGAAGCAGCUUGCAGUGGCAAGAACCACUCGGAGCAGGUGCGACUCAAGCCUCACAGCAAGAAUUUUGCAGAGCAUGGCAGGCCGAUAAACUUGGCUGCUUCAUGCAGCCGCCUUGCUGCCUUGUUGCCUGUUCCAGCUUCCGCUACUUUGCCCACUAUUUCCUCGAUUUCUUCACCUGAAAAGCUACCACCUCAGUGCAGCAGUCCAAUAACACCGCAUAACCAACCACGAGCAGUUAUAUAUUCCCAGGAUGCACAGUGUGAUGAUAUGCUAUCAGGAUCUCUUAGCAAGUCAUCGAAAAAGCGCAAGGGGCGUGGCCCUUCAGUGCUAGUGCAACCACGCGAAGAAGCUGAUAGGCCUGUGUUGACGCCCAGUGGUACAGACAACUGGAGUGUCCACCCGCCAUUUCCUAAGAAGGUAGCAACUACCAUCUCCCUUCUUAUCAAGCAGAACUAUCCUGGGACCUGUAUUUCAGUGGAUGACGAGGGAAGAUCCUGUGAGGUUGUGGUUCACUAUUGGCACCAAUGCCCUCCAGAUGUAAGGGCUACCGUGUUGGAUGAAUUCCUUAAACGCUACAAGUGGGCCCCUGGCCACGAAGAGGAGUGCCAGAAGAUCUUUGAGCGCAAAGCAGUUAGACAGUUAGUUAACCUCUUUUGCUAUGAGAAGCAAAGGGUUAGAGAGGAGUUGGCAGCAAAGAAGUUCAAAGGAUCUUCGGUGGUUGGUAGGGCCAAUGGAGAAUUAGAAAAGGGAGACGAUAGAGAAGAUUCAGAGGAACGACAGGGAGAUGGGUCCGUUGUGUCGAUCGACCAUGAUGAUCCACUGAAUUGGAAACCGUUUGUCCCUGAUUGGAUGCAACCAGCAUGGUGGGAAAUGUUGUGUGACCAUUGGGCCCAAGACGAAUUUAUGAAGGUUUCUUACCAAAAGAGAAAGAAUCGGAAUGCAGGAGGCCACCCCUCUGCUGCUGCAGGCUCACAAAUCAUAGCAAUGCAUGAGCACCCUAAGGAUACCACAUCCUGGGAUGCUGAGGAGGCCAGAGAUCCUCUGCUUGGCCCCCAUCCUGUGCAAGAGCAGUUGGGGAGCUCGAAGCGUGAGAGGUACCAUGGUACUCCUGUUGCCAGCAAGAAGGCCCAGACUGAUUCAUCGUCAAAAUCCUCCCCAGAUUUCUUGAGCAGACAGGGACAACAGCCAAGAUUCACACAGGAGCAGGUGCAGCUGAUGAUUAACCAAGCUCUGCAAGGACUGAAUGAAACUUGGGAGAAGAAGUUUCUGUCCUUGGAGCAAAACAUGCGUAGCGUGCCCUCGGCACGUGCUGUUCGUGUUGGUGCUAAGAGAUCAGCGGUGGCUGUUGCAAGGGGCAAGCGAUGUCAAAUUUCACGGCAGGACACAUUUGAUUCGGCGGAGGGAGAAGAAGAUCAAGACGACGGCGAGGAGCAGGAUGAUGAGCGUUGGAGUUAG
This 3243-nucleotide ribosomal RNA is filed under the name Triticum aestivum (bread wheat). RNAcentral describes it as "partial small subunit ribosomal RNA". The record is from RNAcentral. Lineage: Eukaryota; Viridiplantae; Streptophyta; Magnoliopsida; Poales; Poaceae.